RNAcentral lists this ribosomal RNA (459 nucleotides) under uncultured bacterium. Its description in RNAcentral is "partial 16S ribosomal RNA". It matches the Rfam family "Bacterial small subunit ribosomal RNA", at positions 338 to 795 of the family's 1533-position model. The record is from RNAcentral.
CCUACGGGUGGCAGCAGUGAGGAAUAUUGGUCAAUGGGCGGGAGCCUGAACCAGCCAAGCCGCGUGAAGGAAGAAGGCGCCAGGCGUCGUAAACUUCUUUUGUCGGGGAACAAAGGGCGCCACGUGUGGCGUUGUGAGUGUACCCGAAGAAAAAGCAUCGGCUAACUCCGUGCCAGCAGCCGCGGUAAUACGGAGGAUGCGAGCGUUAUCCGGUUUUAUUGGGUUUAAAGGGUGCGUAGGGGGAGCGGAAAGUCAGCGGUAAAAGCCCGGGGUGAAACCCCGGAGAGCCGUUGAAACUGUCGGACUAGAGACGGCGAGAGGUAGGCGGAAUGCGCGGUGUAGCGGUGAAAUGCAUAGAUAUCGCGAAGAACUCCGAUUGCGAAGGCAGCGUACCGGAGCCGAACUGACGCUGAGGCACGAAAGCGUGGGUAUCGAACAGGAUUAGAUACCCUAGUAGUC